This 75-nucleotide transfer RNA is filed under the name Candidatus Omnitrophota bacterium. RNAcentral describes it as "tRNA-Glu". It matches the Rfam family "tRNA". Rfam says of the family: Transfer RNA (tRNA) molecules are approximately 80 nucleotides in length. The record is from RNAcentral. Lineage: Bacteria; Pseudomonadati; Candidatus Omnitrophota.
GGCCCCAUCGUCUAGCCCGGUCUAGGACGGGAGAUUCUCAGUCUUCAAACACCGGUUCAAAUCCGGUUGGGGCUA